Molecule: long non-coding RNA, 261 nt
Organism: Salarias fasciatus (jewelled blenny)
Lineage: Eukaryota; Metazoa; Chordata; Actinopteri; Blenniiformes; Blenniidae
Exons: 3
Source: RefSeq, a predicted model, not a curated record
GUGUGUGUUGAGCAAUGAACUUUACUGGUUCUUUUCUUUUUUUAAUCAAGACUCUGAUAUAAAGCUAACUCCACAGUUCGGAGUGAAAUCUCGUCUGUGUCUCGGAUCUCUGACCAUCUGACUGGUCCAGAGGACAAAAUGUCGUCUAUGAAGAGUGACCGGUCCAAAGGUCGUCCACCGGACUUCAGUGGUGAACCUGGACCUUCAGGCACAAAAAAGAGGAAGAGAAGAAGUGAUGUCUGUGAAGAGCAGCCAGACAGA